UGGCAAGUAACUCAUGGAUCCACCUGCCUA
This 30-nucleotide non-coding RNA is filed under the name Rattus norvegicus (Norway rat). The record is from RNAcentral. Lineage: Eukaryota; Metazoa; Chordata; Mammalia; Rodentia; Muridae.